AAGAUGCAUGCAUCUUAGAUUUAAGUCCUAGUUAUAAGUAUAAUGUAAGAUAGAUUUAAGAUUUAAUAUUAAGACUUAGAUUUU
Molecule: long non-coding RNA, 84 nt
Organism: Apis dorsata (giant honeybee)
Lineage: Eukaryota; Metazoa; Arthropoda; Insecta; Hymenoptera; Apidae
Exons: 2
Source: RefSeq, a predicted model, not a curated record